This 490-nucleotide ribosomal RNA is filed under the name uncultured bacterium. RNAcentral describes it as "partial 16S ribosomal RNA". It matches the Rfam family "Bacterial small subunit ribosomal RNA", at positions 30 to 507 of the family's 1533-position model. The record is from RNAcentral.
AUUGAACGCUGGCGGCAGGCCUAACACAUGCAAGUCGAACGGUAACAGGAAGAAGCUUGCUUCUUUGCUGACGAGUGGCGGACGGGUGAGUAAUGUCUGGGAAACUGCCUGAUGGAGGGGGAUAACUACUGGAAACGGUAGCUAAUACCGCAUAACGUCGCAAGACCAAAGAGGGGGACCUUCGGGCCUCUUGCCAUCGGAUGUGCCCAGAUGGGAUUAGCUAGUAGGUGGGGUAACGGCUCACCUAGGCGACGAUCCCUAGCUGGUCUGAGAGGAUGACCAGCCACACUGGAACCGAGACACGGUCCAGACUCCUACGGGAGGCAGCAGUGGGGAAUAUUGCACAAUGGGCGCAAGCCUGAUGCAGCCAUGCCGCGUGUAUGAAGAAGGCCUUCGGGUUGUAAAGUACUUUCAGCGGGGAGGAAGGGAGUAAAGUUAAUACCUUUACUCAUUGACGUUACCCGCAGAAGAAGCACCGGCUAACUCCGUG